This is an RNA transcript of Camelus dromedarius (Arabian camel), 1207 nucleotides long. It is a transcript of the gene named cysteine-rich secretory protein 2-like, with no coding region annotated. The transcript has a single exon. NCBI's taxonomy places the organism in Eukaryota, Metazoa, Chordata, Mammalia, Artiodactyla, Camelidae. The record is from RefSeq and is a predicted model, not a curated record.
AUCCAAAUAAAGCAGAUACUUCAUCCUGCUCUGAAAACCAACACAAUGGCUUUACUCCCAGUAGUGCUGUUUCUAGCUACAGUGCUGCUACCAUCUUUCCCCACUGAAGAAAAAGAUCCAUCCUUUACUACUUCAUUAACUACUCAAAUGGAAGUCCAAAGAGAGAUUGUAAAUAAACACAAUGAGCUAAGGAAAUCCAUCUCUCCACCUGCCAGCAACAUACUAAAGAUGAAAUGGAGCAGAGACGCCACAGCAAAUGCCCAGAAGUGGGCAAACCAGUGUGCUUUAGAACACGGUAAUCCAGAUGACCGAUAGACCAGUACAAAAUGUGGUGAGAAUUUCUACGUGUCAGAUGACUCUACUGCCCAGUCAGAUGCGACCCAAAGCUGGUGUGAAGAAUGCCACAAUUUUGUCUGUGGUGCAGAACUGAAGAGUUUCAGUGCAGUCGUUGUAUAUUAUACCCAGCCUGUCUGGUACUCAUCCUACCUUGCUGGAUGUGGAAUUGCUUGUUGUCCUAAUCAAGACAGUCUUAGAUACUACUAUGUUUGCCAAUAUUGUCCUGCUGGCAAUAAAGUGAGUAAAAAGAAUACACCUUACCAGCAAGGAACACCUUGUGCCAGCUGCCCUGGUAACUGCGACAAUGGACUAGGCACCAAUACUUGCCAGGAUAACAGUCUCCUUAGUAACUGCAAUUCCUUGAAGAAAAAAUGCUGGAGAGGGUGUGGAAAAAAAGGGAAUCCUUCUACACUAUUGGUAGGAAUGUAAAUUGGUACAACCACUCUGGAAAACUGUAAGGAGAUUCCCUAAAAAACUGAAAAUAGAGCUACCAUAUGAUUCAGCAAUCCCACUCCCUCAUAUACAACUGGAAAAAAUGAAAACUCUAAUUCAAAAAGAUAUAUGAACCCCAGUGUUCAUAGCAGCAUUGUUUACAAUAGCUAGCCUGAGUGCCCGUCAACAGACAACUGGCUUAAGAACAUGUGGUGUGUGUAUGUAUACAUAUACACAAUGGAAUAUUAUAAAGCCAUUAAAAAGAAUUAAAUAUUGCUAUUUGCAGCAACACGGAUGGACCUAGAAAAUAUUAUAAUUAGUGAAGUAAGUCAGACAAAGACAAAUACUAUAUGAUAUCAUUUCUAUGUGGAAUCUGAAAAAUAAUACAAAUGAAUCUAUAUACAGAAAUAGGCUCACAGACAUAGAAUACAAAUUUAUG